UACGUAGGGUGCAGGCGUUAAUCGGAAUUACUGGGCGUAAAGCGUGCGCAGGCGGUUUGCUAAGACAGGUGUGAAAUCCCCGGGCUUAACCUGGGAACUGCGCUUGUAACUGGCAAGCUAGAGUGUGGCAGAGGGGGGUGGAAUUCCAAGUGUAGCAGUGAAAUGCGUAGAUAUCAAGUGGAACACCAGUGGCGAAGGCGAGUCUCUGGACAUUUCCUGACGCUGAGGCACGAAAGCCAGGGGAGCAAACGGG
RNAcentral lists this ribosomal RNA (253 nucleotides) under uncultured bacterium. RNAcentral's name for it is "partial 16S ribosomal RNA". It matches the Rfam family "Bacterial small subunit ribosomal RNA", at positions 524 to 776 of the family's 1533-position model. The record is from RNAcentral.